AUGAAGGUACCGUGGAUUGGCAACACUUACAAUGUAAACAAACAGCUGAUCACGGGUCCGGAGCGAGGCAAGGAGAUAAAAAUAAUAAUAAACGAAGGAAAUAGAGCAAAUACUCGUAGAAGGACGACAGCAGGCAGAGAGGGGCAGGAGAAGUAGCAGAAUCAGGGAAAGGGCGUAUUGGUGCCAGUAAAUAAGGUGGACUUGGAAUCUCUCAGGGGAAACUACAUGUAGUAAUUGAAUUAAAAUGGCUAGAACCAGAGGAUGGGGUUGUGCGUCCCCGGGAGUUCAGAGGGUGCCGGCGCUUCAACUGAUGGUGUGGACCCAUGAGACAGAGGCUCCACCAGGUGGUAACACAAGCAGCGGGUGGAAGAGACCUUGGGAGACUUCCGUAACUCACAAGCAAGAACCAAACCUUGCUGGAGCCUUGUGACUGACUGGUGGUUUUGACUGCAGGCACCAACAUUCAGGUCCCUGAACACCUUUCCCCCCAUGAACUGGCUGCUGUUUACUGGGACACCCUUGCAGAACAGCCUGGCGGAGCUCUGGGCCCUUCUGAACUUCCUAAUGCUGGAUAUUUUUGAGUCCUUGUUCAAUGUGAGUGAGAUGCAGGAGGGAAGUGAGGAGAGGACUCUGAGGCAGGAAUGGGAGGGCCAGGCCAUCUCCACUCUAAUGAAGAUAAGAGAGAGGGAAUGUGGGUGUGUUUGGGAGUGUUUUGGUGGCUUUGGGUAGGUUUGGGUGUGUUUGGGGAGUUUUUUAUGAUUAUUUAAAGAGGUUUUUUUGGGCUGGAGAGGAGUUUUUUGGGCUGGAGAGGAGUUUUUUGGGCUGGAGAGAAUUUUUUUGGGUCUGGAGAGGAGCUUUUUGGGCUGGAGAGAAAUGUUUUGGGCUGGAGAGAAGGUUAUGUUUUGGGCUGGAGAGAAGGUUUUGUGGGCUGGAGGGAAGUUUUUUGGGCUGGAGGGAAGUUUUUUGGGCUGGAGAGGAGUUUUUUGGGCUGGAGAGGAUCGUUUCAGGUCAGGUGGUUAAACACUACCGUCUAUCUAGUGGCUAUUGUAGGCUGUAUCUCUCUCUCUCUCUCUCUCUCUCUCUCUCUCUCUCUCUCUCUCUCUCUCUCUCUCUCUCUCUCUCUCUCUCUCUCUCUCUGUCUGUCUGUCUGUCUGUCUGUCUGUGUGUCGUAGUCAUGAGUGUUGGUGUAAUUGUUAUUACGAUGUAUUGUGUUGGUGCAGGAUUGUAAGGCGAGAUAGCAAGGUACACACACCACCACCCCUCACACACACACACACACACACACACACACACACACACACACACACACACACACACACACACACACACACACAGCCCCCUCCCCCCUCUCCCCCUUUAUCGUAACGUACAAACAGGACUAAACGUGUUACUAAUGCCAGCAAUGUAAACAAAACCACAGUGACUUUGAAAUGUAAACAAAAAAGUCACGUGACCAGGUAAUGUAAACAAAACCACGUGACUUUGAAAUGUAAACAAAAAAAGUCACGUGACCAGAUAAUGUAAACAAAACCACGUGACUGAAAUAUAAACAAAAAAGUCACGUGACCAGAUAAUGUAAACAAAACCACGUGACUGAAAUGUAAACAAAAAAGUCACGUGACCAGAUAAUGUAAACAAAACCACCGUGACUUUGAAAUGUAAACAAAAAAAGUCACGUGACCAGAUAAUGUAAACAAAACCACGUGACUAUCAAAUGUAAACAAAAAAGUCACGUGACCAGAUAAUGUAAACAAAACCACGUGACUUUCAAAUGUAAACAAAAAAGUCACGUGACCAGAUAAUGUAAACAAAACCACGUGACUUUGAAAUGUAAACACAAGGUCACGUGACUUGCAAAUGUAAACAAAACAGGAAAAAAACAAACAACCGCCAUCUUGAAAGCAACGUAAACAAACAAACAAACAAACACGUGGAUAUAUUAACAGUUUGCACUUAAAACAAACAAACAAACAAACAAAUACUUGGUACACACGCUUAGUCCCAUAAUUAGAAGGGUCAAACACACACACACACACACACACACACACACACACACACACACACACACACACACACACACACACACACAGUCUAGGUGAGUUAAUCUUUAUAAUAAUAAAAAAAGUUUCUUAAGAUUAGUUAGUUAAAUAAGAAAAAUAUAAAAAGUUAAAUAAUUCAAACA
Long non-coding RNA from Scylla paramamosain (green mud crab), 2182 nucleotides. RefSeq lists it as uncharacterized. The transcript has 4 exons. The record is from RefSeq and is a predicted model, not a curated record. NCBI's taxonomy places the organism in Eukaryota, Metazoa, Arthropoda, Malacostraca, Decapoda, Portunidae.